UACGAAGGGGGCUAGCGUUGCUCGGAAUCACUGGGCGUAAAGCGCACGUAGGCGGCUUGUUAAGUCAGGGGUGAAAUCCUGGAGCUCAACUCCAGAACUGCCUUUGAUACUGGCGAGCUUGAGUUCGGGAGGGGUGAGUGGAACUGCGAGUGUAGAGGUGAAAUUCGUAGAUAUUCGCAAGAACACCAGUGGCGAAGGCGGCUCACUGGCCCGAUACUGACGCUGAGACGCGAAAGCGUGGGGAGCAAACAGG
This 253-nucleotide ribosomal RNA is filed under the name uncultured bacterium. Its description in RNAcentral is "partial 16S ribosomal RNA". It matches the Rfam family "Bacterial small subunit ribosomal RNA", at positions 524 to 776 of the family's 1533-position model. The record is from RNAcentral.